Molecule: ribosomal RNA, 901 nt
Filed under: Octospora hygrohypnophila
Lineage: Eukaryota; Fungi; Ascomycota; Pezizomycetes; Pezizales; Pyronemataceae
Description: eukaryotic LSU rRNA
Rfam family: Eukaryotic large subunit ribosomal RNA
Source: RNAcentral
CAACAGGGAUUGCCUUAGUAACUGCGAGUGAAGCGGCAAAAGCUCAAAUUUGAAAUCUGACGUCUGAUCGGGCGUUCCGAGUUGUAAUUUGGAGGAGCGGCUUCGGGAGCGGCACCGUCUCAAGUUCCGUGGAACCGGACGUCACAGAGGGUGAGAAUCCCGUGUCUGGACGGGCUAGCCUGUUCCCAUGCGAAGUGCUUCCGACGAGUCGAGUUGUUUGGGAAUGCAGCUCAAAAUGGGUGGUAAAUUUCAUCUAAAGCUAAAUAUUGGCGAGAGACCGAUAGCGCACAAGUAGAGUGAUCGAAAGAUGAAAAGCACUUUGAAAAGAGAGUUAAAAAGUACGUGAAAUUGUUGAAAGGGAAGCGCUUGAGAUCAAACUCGGUCUUUGGUGAAGCGUGCGAUUUAGCUCGUAGCCUCUCCCUUUGACCGGGCCAGCAUCGGUUUUGAUGGCGGGAGAAACGGUAGAGGAAUGUGGCUCUCUUUGGAGAGUGUUAUAGCCAAUACCACAUACCGCCAGUCGAGACCGAGGACCCCCCGCGCUACGGCUAGGAUGCUGGCGUAAUGGUCUUCAGCGACCCGUCUUGAAACACGGACCAAGGAGUCUAACAUCUAUGCGAGUGUUCGGGUGAAAAACCCUUGCGCGUAAUGAAAGUGAAUGGAGGUGGGAACCGCAAGGUGCACCAUCGACCGAUCCCGAUGUUUUCGGAAGGAUUUGAGUAUAAGCAUAGCUGUUGGGACCCGAAAGAUGGUGAACUAUGCCUGAAUAGGGUGAAGCCAGAGGAAACUCUGGUGGAGGCUCGCAGCGGUUCUGACGUGCAAAUCGAUCGUCAAAUUUGGGUAUAGGGGCGAAAGACUAAUCGAACCAUCUAGUAGCUGGUUCCUGCCGAAGUUUCCCUCAGGA